GAUGAACGCUGGCGGCGUGCCUAAUACAUGCAAGUCGAGCGAACAGACGAGGAGCUUGCUCCUCUGACGUUAGUGGCGGACGGGUGAGUAACACGUGGAUAACCUACCUAUAAGACUGGGAUAACUUCGGGAAACCGGAGCUAAUACCGGAUAAUAUAUUGAACCGCAUGGUUCAAUAGUGAAAGACGGUUUUGCUGUCACUUAUAGAUGGAUCCGCGCCGCAUUAGCUAAUUGGUAAGGUAACGGCUUACCAAGGCAACGAUGCGUAGCCGACCUGAGAGGGUGAUCGGCCACACUGGAACUGAGACACGGUCCAGACUCCUACGGGAGGCAGCAGUAGGGAAUCUUCCGCAAUGGGCGAAAGCCUGACGGAGCAACGCCGCGUGAGUGAUGAAGGUCUUCGGAUCGUAAAACUCUGUUAUUAGGGAAGAACAAAUGUGUAAGUAACUAUGCACGUCUUGACGGUACCUAAUCAGAAAGCCACGGCUAACUACGUG
RNAcentral lists this ribosomal RNA (497 nucleotides) under uncultured bacterium. RNAcentral's name for it is "partial 16S ribosomal RNA". It matches the Rfam family "Bacterial small subunit ribosomal RNA", at positions 28 to 507 of the family's 1533-position model. The record is from RNAcentral.